GCGUGCGGCUGCUUUAACUGCAAGUCGAACGGCAGCGCGGGGCAACCUGGCGGCGAGUGGCGAACGGGUGAGUAAUAUAUCGGAACGUACCCAGAAGUGGGGGAUAACGUAGCGAAAGUUACGCUAAUACCGCAUACGAUCUACGGAUGAAAGUGGGGGACCUUCGGGCCUCAUGCUUUUGGAGCGGCCGAUAUCUGAUUAGCUAGUUGGUGAGGUAAAGGCUCACCAAGGCGACGAUCAGUAGCUGGUCUGAGAGGACGACCAGCCACACUGGAACUGAGACACGGUCCAGACUCCUACGGGAGGCAGCAGUGGGGAAUUUUGGACAAUGGGCGCAAGCCUGAUCCAGCAAUGCCGCGUGAGUGAAGAAGGCCUUCGGGUUGUAAAGCUCUUUUGUCAGGGAAGAAACGGCUCCGGCUAAUAUCCGGGGCUAAUGACGGUACCUGAAGAAUAAGCACCGGCUAACUACGUGCCAGCAGCCGCGGUAAUACGUAGGGUGCAAGCGUUAAUCGGAAUUACUGGGCGUAAAGCGUGCGCAGGCGGUUUUGUAAGUCUGUCGUGAAAGCCCCGGGCUCAACCUGGGAAUUGCGAUGGAGACUGCAAGGCUUGAAUCUGGCAGAGGGGGGUAGAAUUCCACGUGUAGCGGUGAAA
RNAcentral lists this ribosomal RNA (651 nucleotides) under beta Proteobacterium EK-I62. RNAcentral describes it as "bacterial SSU rRNA". It matches the Rfam family "Bacterial small subunit ribosomal RNA", at positions 35 to 686 of the family's 1533-position model. Lineage: Bacteria; Pseudomonadati; Pseudomonadota; Betaproteobacteria. The record is from RNAcentral.